CGACUCUUUCCUCAUCCACCUGUUUGCGAAGUCCGGGAUUGAUUUCUCGGCUUCGGGCGCAGUAUCUUACCAUUUCAAUAUUCGUAGUCUUCAUCGAUUAUGUUGUUUCUUUGAGCAAAUUAUAGUGUUUCAGGCAGGCGUGCGCCGGAAUACAUUAGCAUGGUAUAAACGAAUUGGACCGUGUGCCCGUAACUGGGCUUCUCCUUAUUGUUGGUUUGAAGGACACGGAGAUGGUUAAUAGGGACAGCGUUUAUUUCACAAGGAGGCAUUAGUAUUUAAUUUCCAGAGGUGAAAUUCUUUGAAAUAUUAAAGACUAACUUAUGCGAAAGCAUCGUUUGCCAAUGAUGUUUUCAUUAAUCAUUGAACGAAAGUUAGGGGAUCAAAGACGAUCAGAUACCGUCCUAGUCUUAACCAUAAACGUUGCCGACUAGGGAUCGGAGGGCGUGCACAAUCCGCCUUCGGCACCUUACGAGAAAUCAAAGUCUUUUGGGUUCUGUGGGUAGUAUGGUCGCAAGGCUGAAACUUAAAGGAAUUGACGGAAGGGCACCACCAGGAGUGGAGCUUGCGGCUCAAUUUGACUCAACACGGGAAAUCUUACCAGGUCCAGACAUAGCGAGGAUUGACAGAUUGAUAGCUCUUUCUUGAUUCUAUGGGUAUUUUGGUGGUGCAUGGCCGUUCUUAGUUCGUGGAGUGAUUCGUCUGGUUAAUUCCGUUAAACGAACGAGACCUCAGCCUGCUAAAUAGUUGCUCGCCUUUUCUAUAAGACUUGACAACUUCUUAGAGGGACUUUGUGUGCAACCACAAGGAAGUUUGAGGCAAUAACAGGUCUGUGAUGCCCUUAGAUGUCCUGGGCCGCACGCGUGCUACACUGAUACGUACAACGAGGUAUAUGUACUUGUACAUCAAUGCUGCUCCGAAAUAGACGAGCUUAAUCUUAUAAAUACGUAUCGUGCUGCGGAUAGAUCGUUGAAAUUAUGAAUCUUGAAGGUGGAAUUCCUAGUAAGCGCACGUCACUAACGUGCGUUGAUUACGUCCCUGCCCUUUGUACACACCGCCCGUCGCUCCUACCAAUUUCGAGUGAUCUGGUGAACCUCUUUGGACUGUCGAGCAAUCGCGAAAUUAGAGUGAACCUGACUACUUAGAGGAAGGAGAAGUCGUAACAAGGUUUCCGUAGGUGAACCUGCGGAAGGAUCAAUC
This is a ribosomal RNA of Reticulomyxa filosa, 1197 nucleotides long. It matches the Rfam family "Eukaryotic small subunit ribosomal RNA", at positions 649 to 1831 of the family's 1831-position model. Lineage: Eukaryota; Foraminifera; Reticulomyxidae. The record is from Rfam.